Lupinus angustifolius (narrow-leaved blue lupine) is the source of this 119-nucleotide ribosomal RNA. The record is from Rfam. NCBI's taxonomy places the organism in Eukaryota, Viridiplantae, Streptophyta, Magnoliopsida, Fabales, Fabaceae.
AUGUGCAAUCAUUCGAGCAUUAAUGCAUUGGAUCCCAUCAGAAUUUUGCAGCUAAGCGUGCUUGGACAAGAGUGGUACUCGGAUGGGUGACCUCCUUGGAAGUUCUCGUGUUGCACCUC